RNAcentral lists this long non-coding RNA (1430 nucleotides) under Cucumis sativus (cucumber). Its description in RNAcentral is "long non-coding RNA (CSAT_LNC002812)". Lineage: Eukaryota; Viridiplantae; Streptophyta; Magnoliopsida; Cucurbitales; Cucurbitaceae. The record is from RNAcentral.
GGCAACGUGGAGAGCUAAUCCAAAACGCUAAAAAAAAAAAAACCCCAACUAACUGUAUCUUAGAUUCUUCUUCUUCUUUCUUCCUGAUUGAAAUUCAAUGUGUAAAAGACAUCAACAUCAAGAAGAUGGAGAUGAGAAAGACCCAAUUUAUAAUUUUGGGGAUUGUUUGCUUAUUGGUUCAUAAUUGGGAGAGAGAGAGUGAGAGAGAAUAAUAAUAUAUCUCCCCAUCCUUUAUCUUGCAAAAUACAAAGAGUAUGUGUGUUUGUGUUUUCAUUAAGUUUAGUUUUUUAUUUUAAUCGUCAAACCUUUGUCCAUUUUGCUUUAAUAUUCCAUCUUCUUUCAAUCUCGGAUUUAUUUUUUAUAUUUUAACAUUUAAAUUAAAUUUUUUCUUAAAUUAUCGUUUUUUAUAUUAUGUCAUUCCUCUUUUGUUUUCACUCAAAAAAACUAAACGAUCCUAUAAAUCUUCCUACAAGAUCGUCUAGAUUUAGUAUAAGAUCUUAUACCAAGAUCAUUUAGAUAUUGGUCGUUUAGAUUUAAUACAACAUCGUUUAGAUUUCAAAAUCUUGUACCAAAUCGUUUAGAUGUUGGUACACGGUUUCAUUUACAUCGUUUAGGUAUUGGUCAUUUAGAGUUGGUACAAUAUCGUUUAGAUUUGAUACACGAUUAUUUAAACAACAAUUUAUGGUUUAUUUUGAAGAUUAAGAACUAUUUAAACAACAAUUUAGUCAUGAAACACACUUCCAUAUAAGAUGCUCAUUUGACAUAUCUAAGAAAAAUCACUUCUUACACAGUUCUCUCCAUUUCUUUCUCUCUGUUUUGUUCUCGAGAAAAAAAAAAAAAAAAGAGUGUUUGAUAUUUUGAUUAGUUAUAGUGCAGCUCCGAUUGGGUUUGGCUGUUUUAUCCCUAGGGUUGCAGUGACAUUAUUAGAACUAUUUGUAUUCUGAGCAUAGUCAAUCACGAAAUGUCUUUAAAACAGCGUGAUCCACAUGACUCAGCCUAAUUUUUCUUAACAAGUUUCUGUUUAAUUUUACAGAUUUUGGCCUCAUACCCUAGGCGUUCAAUUCCAGCGCGGUGAACUCCAAACAAUGAGGUAUAGGAAUUCAUCUUCAAUGCGAUGAGCACCAAGCGACGUGAUUUAGAUGAUCAGAUCUAAGUUACUUUAGUUCUGGCGUCUAAACUAUGAAGCAACCAAACUUUCAAGGCGUUCUGUUCUAGGUGUUCAAAUCUAGACACCUUACUCGUUCACAAUACUAGUUCCACCAAUGUAGUAUUUGAAGUAUGAUUUUUUAUAAAUGUAUACAUUAAUUCUAACUUCAAUCAACGUUAACUCUAAACUUAUCAAAUUGUUACCAAUUUUGAAGUAUAAGAAUUAUAUCGUUGCACAUAACAAAUUAAACACUAAAUAAUUACAACAAAAAAAAUGAAAGUAC